RNAcentral lists this ribosomal RNA (549 nucleotides) under uncultured Acidobacteriota bacterium. RNAcentral describes it as "bacterial SSU rRNA". It matches the Rfam family "Bacterial small subunit ribosomal RNA", at positions 911 to 1459 of the family's 1533-position model. Lineage: Bacteria; Pseudomonadati; Acidobacteriota. The record is from RNAcentral.
UGACGGGGGCCCGCACAAGCGGUGGAGCAUGUGGUUCAAUUCGACGCAACGCGAAGAACCUUACCCAGGCUCGAACGGCAAGUGACAUCCGAUGAAAGUCGGCUUCCGCAAGGACACUUGUCGAGGUGCUGCAUGGCUGUCGUCAGCUCGUGUCGUGAGAUGUUGGGUUAAGUCCCGCAACGAGCGCAACCCUUGUUUCCUGUUGCCAUCACGUUAUGGUGGGCACUCUGGAGAGACUGCCGGUGACAAACCGGAGGAAGGUGGGGAUGACGUCAAGUCAGCAUGGCCUUUAUGUCUGGGGCCACACACGUGCUACAAUGGCAGAUACAAACCGUUGCGAUCCCGCGAGGGGGAGCUAAUCGGAGAAAGUCUGCCUCAGUUCGGAUUGCAGGCUGCAACUCGCCUGCAUGAAGUUGGAAUCGCUAGUAAUCGCGGAUCAGCACGCCGCGGUGAAUACGUUCCCGGGCCUUGUACACACCGCCCGUCACAUCACGAAAGCUGGCUGUACUAGAAGUCGCUGCGCUAACCCGCAAGGGAGGCAGGCGCCUA